CCUGGCGGCCGUAGCGCGGUGGUCCCACCUGACCCCAUGCCGAACUCAGAAGUGAAACGCCGUAGCGCCGAUGGGAG
RNAcentral lists this ribosomal RNA (77 nucleotides) under Escherichia coli. Lineage: Bacteria; Pseudomonadati; Pseudomonadota; Gammaproteobacteria; Enterobacterales; Enterobacteriaceae. The record is from RNAcentral.